Molecule: long non-coding RNA, 1329 nt
Organism: Rosa rugosa (rugosa rose)
Lineage: Eukaryota; Viridiplantae; Streptophyta; Magnoliopsida; Rosales; Rosaceae
Exons: 3
Source: RefSeq, a predicted model, not a curated record
CAAAUUGGAGCUCAUAUUUUUCACUCUCUCUCAUCUGUCUCUCACUUUUUCUUCUGGCCAGAUUUGUAUGCUUUGGUUGAUGAUUAGAAAUGCCCUUUUUCUCUCAAACCCUCGUUUUCUCCCACAGCCCCUCUUUUCCUUUCUCACCUAUCUCAAUGUCACCCACCAAAUUUAGUUUCGAAGAACUUGGUGGCCACUGGGUUGACCUGGAUCUACAACCUCCAGAACCCACAUCAACAACCUCCCUAAGCUCCUCUCCUACGUCACACCAACCUCGCCGCCUCAGUACGUCGUCGAAUCAAACUACCGAUUACACCCAUCGUCAUCUCACCUACAUCUACCCAAAACUCAAUCACUUUCUCACCCAUCCUUGCUUGCUGAGAACAGAGAACUCAGACAUGGCCACGGGAUAGAAGCCAUUGAUAUUCUCAUCUCCAUUCUAGUAUCAAAAAUCAAAGGUUUAGGCUUUGGAGUCUAUAUUGGGAUCAGUUCACCGCUACGGUAUGGAAUUGAGGAAAGAUAGAGGAGUGGAGCUGGAUUUUGAUCGAAAAACUCUGGCAAGUGAAAGGUUGGAGUUGUGCAGUACGUUAGGUGAAGGAGAGAGAUUUUGGGUGAAGGCUCCUUGACUGGGUAUUGAUUAAAUUCAGAUUACGUUGGAAAGCUUGUAUGAAGAUGUUGCUGGGUCUUUAUUUCUUAUUGAGAUGAUGACGUUCUGUUUGGACUUCAUGAGACAAAUUAGCUCAAUUGUUCAAUUGUUUGUUAAUAAUUAAAGUGAGACAAGUUGGCUGGUUGUUUAACAAUUAGAGUGUUAUAAUGCUCUUUGUUGGAGUAUGCGUAUAAGCUUUAUUAAAGGUUGCCUGGAGGUAGGGUCAUUCAAUUGUAAAUUUGCUUUGGUGUUCUUGUAAUUUUGGAAUGAAUAAGGGAUACAUAUAUGUAUAAUUUUCUUCUUCUGGGAGUUAAGUUGCAGACGUGAGUGAGUACUUGGCAGAAACUAGAUUACAAUUAGAGGCUUGGUUUGGCCUAAGAAAUAGCAUUUAUUAGACCUAAGGCUUCUAUUCUUAACAAGUUGUAGACUUUAUACUUCCAACUAGACUUCAUACUUCAAGUUACAGACUUUCUAGCUGAUGAUGUUCUGUUCUCAUAGUAAUGUUGUUGACACUAUGGAAGCAUAAUGAAAUUUUGAUAUAGUGAGAUAUUUGUGUAUGAUUUUUGUACUUAAUGUGAAUCCUUUGUAAGAAGUUAAAUUCAGUUGAAGUGUGAACAAUGAUAAGUAGUAGUACUAGCCUUAAGUUCUUGCAUGUUUAUGAGUAAUAAUAAUUUUUCUUUUUU